AUUAUGAGGAGAUGGCAUCACGUUCUGCCACAAAAUUUCUAAUUUCUAAAAUAAUCGCAACGCCUCACAUUCUAUCAAUGAAGUAUUGACAAUCUAAUGUUCACUAACUAAUCAACUGCAGUAGAAAGUGUUGACUGCAAAUUUAAAAUAGAAGAGGGAGGCAAACCAAAAUCAAGUUUAAAUGAAACGAAGUUAUUGGGCUAUGCUUCCAUAUUUUCAGGCGAGUUCUGCCCUAAACAACGUCUGCAAUACUAUAUUGCGGCAGCUAACCAGCUGAGCAUCAGAAACAGGCCAUCAAAAAUGUAACAGGGUCGCAAUAAUGUUGUAAUUAUUGAAUACGACGAACAUAGACAUGGCAACCAGUUCUACCUUGCCGCAAUAAACACUCGGAUUUUUUCCCCGACCAAGGACUGUGGGCUCAGUAAACUAGCCCUGUCUAGUGCACCACACCGCACCUUAGCCCAACGUACACAUACUUACGAACGGAUACGAAAUAAAACAUAAGUGCCAUUAUUUAUUACUGACUUAAACUUUUAAUAAUAUAUUUCCUUUUUAUUAGUAUUUUUAUUAUCAAAUCUUUGCUUUAAUUUUUUUGUUUUUUUUUCAGAUGAAUUAUUUACUUGCAUUGGUUGAUCUGUUUUUUGUUUUUUCUUCUGUCAAAUUUAUGCUACAUUUAAUUCAAAUACAUAUUUGCGGGUAUCAUGCAUUUGUAGUAAUUGCCGUAGGUGCAAAACCCGACAACGGGCUGCCAUGUCACUACUUUUGCUUGCUAACAAUUUUAUCGUAUAUGUAAAUAAUAUAUAUGUAUAUGUAUAUAGUGAGAGUGAGCACAUUUACAUAAAAUAUUUAUAUUUGUAUCGUAGCAUUAUAUAUAUUUCUUCGUUUUCUUUUAUUUCCAUGCCAGUUCUAGUAAAUAUAAUCUAUAUUUGUUAAGUGUAUGAAUUGAUGGUGGUAUUGUAAUGAAUGGAUGGAUGGCUACACUUAACGAACGCGUUAGUUUCGUCGCCAUAAAACCUACAUUUAAAUAUCCAGCAAUGUUUGGAAAAACAUCUUUCAGUGCGAUCGACACAUAAAAAUUUACAAUUUAUAGAUAUUAGUAAACA
This is a long non-coding RNA of Anastrepha ludens (Mexican fruit fly), 1103 nucleotides long. RefSeq lists it as uncharacterized. NCBI's taxonomy places the organism in Eukaryota, Metazoa, Arthropoda, Insecta, Diptera, Tephritidae. The record is from RefSeq and is a predicted model, not a curated record. The transcript is spliced from 2 exons.